GUUCGGAAGUGGUAAAGUGGUAAUGUAGAUCCCUUUUAUCCAUGUGCUGAUGCUCAGAGUGAGCGUCGACAUCCUUUGUAUAUAAAACUACUGUUGCUUCAAGUCUGGUUGUAUUCAACUGAAGUCUCGCAACAGUUUAGUGCAUCAACUACCAUAAACCACCGUCGUAAUUAAUUAGCUGCUCGCUUGCGAUCGCCAAAGAUGCGACCGUUCAACAACAUGAAAGCUAUCUGGAUUGUCAUUGCUCUUAUAGCAUCGAUUGCAUACGGAUUAUCCGUACACAAACCACGGGCAAGUCUCAGUAAUGUACGAAAUUUCGAUGAGCAAAUCCGAAUGGCUUACCAACCGGAAGUCGAGGAGGCUUUCCGACCUGGAAGAUUUUUGGAAGACGAUACCAGCGAUGAUGGCUAUGACUUUCACUUUUAAAAUUCCGGUUAACAAACCGGUGAAUCAUCUAGAGUAGGUGUUCCGGAAGUGUCUCGUCACGUUUCUUAAUUUAUUUCAUUGUUAUUUAUUCAGAAUGUGACUAUAAUAUUUAUGUUUGCGGUUACAAUAAAAAUUUAUAAAAUACA
Molecule: long non-coding RNA, 572 nt
Organism: Tribolium madens (black flour beetle)
Lineage: Eukaryota; Metazoa; Arthropoda; Insecta; Coleoptera; Tenebrionidae
Exons: 2
Source: RefSeq, a predicted model, not a curated record